UACGAAGGGGGCUAGCGUUGUUCGGAAUUACUGGGCGUAAAGCGCGUGUAGGCGGCCCGGUAAGUCGGAUGUGAAAGCCCUGGGCUUAACCUAGGAAGUGCAUUCGAAACUCCCGUGGCUUGAGUUCUGGAGAGGGAAGCGGAAUUCUCGGUGUAGAGGUGAAAUUCGUAGAUAUCGAGAGGAACACCGGUGGCGAAGGCGGCUUCCUGGACAGUGACUGACGCUGAGACGCGAAAGCGUGGGGAGCAAACAGG
RNAcentral lists this ribosomal RNA (254 nucleotides) under uncultured bacterium. Its description in RNAcentral is "partial 16S ribosomal RNA". It matches the Rfam family "Bacterial small subunit ribosomal RNA", at positions 524 to 776 of the family's 1533-position model. The record is from RNAcentral.